ACUCGAACCAUUGUUACCUAACAAACUCAGCGUCACCACGCAGGUGAGUAGGAAUGUCACAUUGUCCGCAAUCAAUGAUUGCACUCACUAAUUCCAGACACAAUUUUAAAGUUUCCGAGGAAAAGCAUGCUUCAUGCAAAACUAAAAUUAGAGUGUGCAGUUUUUGUUGAUUUUCUGCUGAACAACGUCGUUUCUCCAUGAAAAUCCGACUCUUCUGAAAAGAGAAAAAAAUAAUGCUUUCCUCUCGUAAAAUGGCUUGCAAAACAAUGAAAACCCAUCUUUCUUUCUCUUAGCUCCAAGAUCGGAAAUCGGGCCUUCCACUCAAUUUUACCGUUGGUUCGUACAACUGAGUUUUGUAAACCAGGUUAAAAGGUCCCACAACGUUCUGCUAUGUUCCAUCAGGUUGCCAUGAGACAAAAGAAGUAAAUGGGAUAAAAUGACCUAAGUGGGGUAACUAGAUAAACAAAGAUGAACUAAGAUAUAGACAAGGAAGGAAUCAUAGAGUAUAGUAAGAUAAUGUGUUGUGCUAAAUAGAUGGAUGGGAUGAACGGUCAUUAGGAUGCAUAGUACAUGUAUACUAGUGAGAGGAUAGAAAAUCGUUUUGGGGUGUACAAUUUCAAUGGUAUAUCAACUCACUAGUAAUUUAAAAAAACUCUGCGUAUUUUCUACCUUUAGGGAAUGCUAAGUAUUAUGGAUUACAAACUACUGUAAAACGUUGAUUGAAAGCAUUUUAUAAGCAAAAAAUUUCAUACUGCCGUAUGAAGAAUAAAUCGUUGUUCAAACUUCAUGCGGGAUUGAUUGAUUGUUCAUGUUUGGCUAUGAAACUUGUAAUUAACAAGUCGCUGUAUUUAUAUGAUGAGCUUUUCCAAAAACGGAUACUGUGAUCCGAAAUAGAAUGGAAAGUUGAACUAGGAAUGUUUGGGAUCACGGAUGCUGGCUAUGAAACACUGUGUAUCAGAGAGUGUGUGUCUUAAGCUAAUACCAUUAUAACUACUAUUUACCUAGAUGUUAUUUCUAUCACCCUCACCUAGCUAUUGACAAAGUGGGAGCCGCGGUCCUGAGUGGGAUACCCAUCUACUUAUAAGUCAUAAGACUUAGUCCCCAGAUUUUCAAGUGGGAGAAUUCCUCCUAUGUGGGGGAGUAGUAAGAAAGUUUUAAACUUUCAAACUUAGACUGAGGUUGUAUCAUUCUAUGACAACAAUUCUAGCGGGGCUUUCUGUACCAUCGUGCAUGCCUGACCGUUAGGGUUUCAUAUGAGUUCAACAAUGUCAGUCUACGUGCAUGAAAAGACUUUUGCUGGUUUGAGCGAACAACCCUAUUCAGUGUAUUAAGGUUGCCCUCAAGCAGCAGUUUCCAAGUGCAACAAAGGAGGUUGAACCAAGAUAACUAGGUAUAGCAGACGAUGGUAUGCUGUGCUUUGAUGGUUUUGAAGCAUGUCCACAUAGAAUCACAUUAGUAGAAUUUAAUACUCCCGAUCAAUACAUUAAAACAAUUGUGUGUAUUUUAGUUGCGAUUAAUAAUGUUAAUUCUGUAAACCAUGUU
Schizosaccharomyces pombe (fission yeast) is the source of this 1542-nucleotide non-coding RNA. The record is from the annotation of a GenBank genome assembly. Lineage: Eukaryota; Fungi; Ascomycota; Schizosaccharomycetes; Schizosaccharomycetales; Schizosaccharomycetaceae.